UACGGAGGAUCCAAGCGUUAUCCGGAAUCAUUGGGUUUAAAGGGUCCGUAGGCGGUUUAAUAAGUCAGUGGUGAAAUCUGGUCGCUCAACGAUCAAACGGCCAUUGAUACUGUUAGACUUGAAUUACUAGGAAGUAACUAGAAUAUGUAGUGUAGCGGUGAAAUGCUUAGAUAUUACAUGGAAUACCAAUUGCGAAGGCAGGUUACUACUAGUGGAUUGACGCUGAUGGACGAAAGCGUGGGGAGCGAACAGG
RNAcentral lists this ribosomal RNA (253 nucleotides) under uncultured Flavobacterium sp. RNAcentral's name for it is "partial 16S ribosomal RNA". It matches the Rfam family "Bacterial small subunit ribosomal RNA", at positions 524 to 776 of the family's 1533-position model. The record is from RNAcentral. Lineage: Bacteria; Pseudomonadati; Bacteroidota; Flavobacteriia; Flavobacteriales; Flavobacteriaceae.